GCAAGUCGAACGAUGAAAUUCCAGCUUGCUGGAAUGGAUUAGUGGCGGACGGGUGCGUAACGCGUGGGAAUCUACCUUGUAGUGGGGGAUAGCCCGGAGAAAUCCGGAUUAACACCGCAUAAUCUCUACGGAGGAAAAGGGGCCUCUUCUUGAAAGCUCCUGCUAUUAGAUGAGCCCGCGUUAGAUUAGCUAGUUGGUGAGGUAAUGGCUCACCAAGGCGACGAUCAGUAGCUGGUCUGAGAGGAUGGAC
RNAcentral lists this ribosomal RNA (250 nucleotides) under uncultured bacterium. RNAcentral's name for it is "partial 16S ribosomal RNA". It matches the Rfam family "Bacterial small subunit ribosomal RNA", at positions 57 to 305 of the family's 1533-position model. The record is from RNAcentral.